Thunnus maccoyii (southern bluefin tuna) is the source of this 1163-nucleotide long non-coding RNA. RefSeq lists it as uncharacterized. The record is from RefSeq and is a predicted model, not a curated record. The transcript has 2 exons. NCBI's taxonomy places the organism in Eukaryota, Metazoa, Chordata, Actinopteri, Scombriformes, Scombridae.
UUGCAUAGGUAAAUGCCCCAUCAGUCUCCACAAAAGGGCAUGAGACUGCAGGGCUGUGUGCACAUAGAAAUCACACACAGGAAUUGAAAAUAAAAGUUGAGAUUAGUCAAGAAUGACCAAACAAAAGACUGAAGAGGGUGGAACACCGGACUCCAGACAUAAAAAGCUCUUAAUAUUUCUGAAGUGGAGGUACUGCUGCAGGAAGUGAACAUCAAACGAGCUGUCAUAUUUAGUAGCAUCAAUAGUGGAUCUAAAAUAAUAAUUAAAAAAAGAUGCAUGGGAUGCUAUUACUCAUUCAGUGAACACUGUAUCCGGAGAAGGGCACACAACUGAUGAAGUUAAAAACAAUAGUUUAAUCUCAAGUCUGAGGCCAAAAAAAAAUAUUUCCAGACACAGAAGAGAGAAGCUGACAAAGGGGACAGGCUUGCCCAGAGUUAUCUGAGCUGGACCAGUGCAUAGCAGCCAUUUUUGGAGAGACAGGACUCUAGGGUGUGCCAUCAGCUCAGCAUUUGGACAUAGACCUGGGCCCUGUAUCAGUGGUUUCAUCUCCUAGGCCAUCUCCUAUCUCAGAAUCAGAAGAUGAACCCCCGCUGAGGCACCCACCCUCUGUGGCAGAACCUGGCACCUCACAGCCAGUACCUUCCUGCAGCAGUACCUCCAUGCGUGCACCCAGGUCCCAUUCAACUGCCCCAUGUCUGAUCUCAGAUGCUGUCCUGGACAACCAAGAGAGAAUGGCCCAAACACUUUCACAGAUAGCCUCAACACUUGCCACAAUCUCUAACACACUUGAAGAAAUUUAUACAAAUUUUAAAAAAUGAAGAUAUGCGCUAAAACCUGUUUGAUUUUUUUGAUGCAUUUCUUUCUUGAGAUUAAUUGUAAGCUAUAAAUAAUCACACUGUACAAGUCAAACAAAUUGUAAAGCCUUUUUUUUCAAACGAGCAAUUAAUUGCUGUUGAACUUAGACAGCAAGUUUGUUGUCUGGUCCCUGGAGUGGGUGAGGAUGCACAUCCUCUUGUUGUUGUGGUGGCAGAGGGGGAAGUGGUACAUCACGUUUCACAGUGAUGUUGUGCAAGACAUUGAUGAGCAGGCCAUGAUUAUCCUACAAACCUAAAAUGUCAAAAAGAUGCCCAAAGAUUACAAAAAUGCAAAAAAUUGUGAUAGAA